UGGCGGACGGGUGAGUAAUGUCUGGGAAACUGCCCGAUGGAGGGGGAUAACUACUGGAAACGGUAGCUAAUACCGCAUAACGUCGCAAGACCAAAGAGGGGGACCUUAGGGCCUCUUGCCAUCGGAUGUGCCCGGAUGGGAUUAGCUAGUAGGUGGGGUAACGGCUCACCUAGGCGACGAUCCCUAGCUGGUCUGAGAGGAUGACCAGCCACACUGGAACUGAGACACGGUCCAG
RNAcentral lists this ribosomal RNA (235 nucleotides) under uncultured bacterium. RNAcentral describes it as "partial 16S ribosomal RNA". It matches the Rfam family "Bacterial small subunit ribosomal RNA", at positions 96 to 334 of the family's 1533-position model. The record is from RNAcentral.